RNAcentral lists this non-coding RNA (21 nucleotides) under Arabidopsis thaliana (thale cress). The record is from RNAcentral. Lineage: Eukaryota; Viridiplantae; Streptophyta; Magnoliopsida; Brassicales; Brassicaceae.
AGCCGGUGGAAACAAGUAUAC